ACCUGGCUGGCUUAGUCAGUAGAGCAUGCGACUCUUGAUCUCAUGGUUGUGAGAUCAAGCCCCAUGUUGGGCA
This 73-nucleotide transfer RNA is filed under the name Canis lupus familiaris (dog). It matches the Rfam family "tRNA". From Rfam's summary of the family: Transfer RNA (tRNA) molecules are approximately 80 nucleotides in length. Their secondary structure includes four short double-helical elements and three loops (D, anti-codon, and T loops). Lineage: Eukaryota; Metazoa; Chordata; Mammalia; Carnivora; Canidae. The record is from Rfam by way of RNAcentral. RNAcentral also lists the same sequence under 1 other name.